UCCCGAGUUCUGCCAGCCUGGGUUUGGGCAGAUACAGAGCAAGAGGAGGCGGGGCGGCGACGCAACAUCCGAUGUAUCUGCGGAGGUGGCAAGAGAUGUGCUCAGAGAGGCGGCCUGCUAGGCUGCUGCGCAUCUUCCUCAGCCACAGCAGCAGAUCCACGGAGUGUCUGACGAUCCUCCUCAGUGACUGUCCUGUCUUCCCAGUCGAGGUAUCGCUGCCUAAGGUGGCGAGAAAAUGGGUGGUUCUUAUCUCAGGAGUGGUGAACUGAUGGGAUCAGGAGUCCUGUAAGAAGGAAGAAAUCACUUUUGCCUGCAGAGAGCUGAGGGGGGGAGGAGAGGGAAGCUUUAUUACACCUCCAGAGCAGGCAAAGGGAACAGGGCAAAGAAUCCAUUUCCUUAUAGAGCCACAGCCUCCCCUUAACUCUGUCCCCCAACUUUCUCCUGAAACAUAAUUAAAAGGGUCCUUAACACAGCAAAAAGCUGGCAGGCUAGUAAAGUUCACCUGGUCUCUAAUGCAUUGUCUGAAGGUAUCAGCCAGCACUCUCCCCUCAGCCAGUCGAGUUCUUCAAACGUGCCCCAACAAGGAGUACCACAGAGGCUGCAGGUAAACGCUCUGUGGCUGGGGCUGUUGAGAGACUCUGAUAGGGCACUGUCUUUCCGCAGAGCUUUAGAAAUCCUGGGUGUAAUCAAGAUGCAGAAAACAAGUAGAUAUUCUGAAAAGAGGACAAACCUUUUGCAGAUCGAACCCAUCAGACGAUGUGGUUAGGUUGACUAUACAAUUCUGUGUU
RNAcentral lists this long non-coding RNA (788 nucleotides) under Rattus norvegicus (Norway rat). RNAcentral describes it as "long non-coding RNA NONRATT004555". Lineage: Eukaryota; Metazoa; Chordata; Mammalia; Rodentia; Muridae. The record is from RNAcentral.